This is a non-coding RNA of Leptospirillum sp. Group IV, 142 nucleotides long. The record is from Rfam. NCBI's taxonomy places the organism in Bacteria, Pseudomonadati, Nitrospirota, Nitrospiria, Nitrospirales, Nitrospiraceae.
CCGGCUGUUCAGCCAGCCGAACCGACCGGAACAUGCGUGGGGGGUAACUCCCAGGUGUGAAGCUUCCGGAAACGUACCCGCCGUGAACGGUAGGCCAAACCGCGAGGGGAGGCCGAAUCUGCCAGCAACAGGCAGUGAGGGG